GCCUUCUUAACUCAGUUGGUAGAGUGCCGGUUUUGUAAACCGGUUGUCUUCGGUUCGAAUCCGAAAGAAGGCU
Molecule: transfer RNA, 73 nt
Filed under: Chaetophora sp. FACHB-2423
Lineage: Eukaryota; Viridiplantae; Chlorophyta; Chlorophyceae; Chaetophorales; Chaetophoraceae
Description: tRNA-Thr
Rfam family: tRNA
About the family: Transfer RNA (tRNA) molecules are approximately 80 nucleotides in length. Their secondary structure includes four short double-helical elements and three loops (D, anti-codon, and T loops). Further hydrogen bonds mediate the characteristic L-shaped molecular structure. tRNAs have two regions of fundamental functional importance: the anti-codon, which is responsible for specific mRNA codon recognition, and the 3' end, to which the tRNAs corresponding amino acid is attached (by aminoacyl-tRNA synthetases). tRNAs cope with the degeneracy of the genetic code in two manners: having more than one tRNA (with a specific anti-codon) for a particular amino acid; and 'wobble' base-pairing, i.e. permitting non-standard base-pairing at the 3rd anti-codon position.
Source: RNAcentral